GCUUAGCUCAGCUGGUAGAGCAAUGGACUGUUAAUCCAUGUGUCGCAGGUUCAAAACCUGCAGC
RNAcentral lists this transfer RNA (64 nucleotides) under Treponema porcinum. It matches the Rfam family "tRNA", at positions 5 to 66 of the family's 71-position model. Rfam says of the family: Transfer RNA (tRNA) molecules are approximately 80 nucleotides in length. The record is from RNAcentral. Lineage: Bacteria; Pseudomonadati; Spirochaetota; Spirochaetia; Treponematales; Treponemataceae. RNAcentral also lists the same sequence under 1 other name.